GACGAACGUUGGCGGCGUGCUUAAUACAUGCAAGUCAACUGAAGCACCGGUAGUAAUACUGGUGUGGAGGUGGCGCACGGGUGAGUAACAUGUAGGUAAUCUGCCUUCAGGUCUGACAUAACCCCGAGAAAUCGGGGCUAAUAGCAGAUGAUGCAGCGGCUUGACAUCAAGACAGUUGUUAAAGCGACCGAGCAAUCGGUGGCGCCUGAAGANGAGCCUGCGUCUGAUUAGCUAGUUGGCGGAGUAACAGCCCACCAAGGCUACGAUCAGUAGCUGGUCUGAGAGGAUGAUCAGCCACACUGGAACUGAGACACGGUCCAGACUCCUACGGGAGGCAGCAGUAAGGAAUAUUGCUCAAUGGGAGAAAUCCUGAAGCAGCAACGCCGCGU
RNAcentral lists this ribosomal RNA (389 nucleotides) under uncultured bacterium. RNAcentral describes it as "bacterial SSU rRNA". It matches the Rfam family "Bacterial small subunit ribosomal RNA", at positions 28 to 402 of the family's 1533-position model. The record is from RNAcentral.